This 1259-nucleotide long non-coding RNA is filed under the name Equus asinus (donkey). RNAcentral describes it as "lncRNA (ENSEASG00005036589.1)". The record is from RNAcentral. Lineage: Eukaryota; Metazoa; Chordata; Mammalia; Perissodactyla; Equidae.
CGGAAGGAGAAGAGAGAGACAAAGGGGCAGAAAAUUUAUGUGAAGAAAUAAUAGAUGAAAAUUUUCCUAAUCUGAGGCAGGAAACAGACAUCCAAGUUCAGGAAGCACAGAGAGCUCCAAACAAGAAAAUGGUAUUUACAAAAGCAUUUCAAUUUGAAGUGUCAAUCAAAGUAUAUGCAGGCAAAACUGUAAGGAAAAAGUAUUAUAGAGAUGUGAAAACAGGAGCAAAGAAAAUUGGAGCAACACGCCUGAAGCUACACAGUUGCAGAGGCAGGAUUUCAACAAAUAUCAAAACUAUGAAAAGACUCCUGUAACUUUCAUCACUCCAAACCUCUGACGACCCAGCCUAACACCCCAUCAUCACCACCACCACCUCUCAGCCUUCCCGCAUGCCUGCUGUCUUCCCGACUCUGGAAGGUGGAGAAGCAUGCAUAUUAUUCCACUGAAAAUACCCUCUGGACCUACGAGAAAGGACUAACCUAAAGUCAAGCACAGAGAAGAGAUAGAUAUCAUCAAAUUAAAAAGUACAAUACAAUUGUGUGCUCUUUUUCCCCAAUAAAAAAUAAAGAAGUGGGGGCUACAACCUCAAAGUGAACAAACAGAGAGAAAGCAGAGAUCCUAAUAUCUGAUGACUUUGAAAGAUCUUUGAAGAGGAACCCAUCUCAGAAUUCAAGAGAGAUCUGAUUUUAAUUCCCAGCUCUACCAUCAAAAAGUCCAGUCUGCUCCCCAGUGUCUCUAAGUGUAGAGAGAGAAAUUCUUACCUUGGCUAUCAGCUAUCACCAAACUUACUAUAGUGAAGAAAUGAAGUUACAAUUAUGACAGGAAUAUCACAAUGCCAUGAGGAUGCAGGAUUUUAUGAUCUAUUCCAAGAAAUAAGAUGAUAAGGAAAGUUUGUAUGCAGUAGAAAGAAUAUGGGAUUUGGAGUCAAAGUUAUGUCCAAAUUCUGAGUUGACCCCUAAUGAACUGUGUUACCUUAUAAGUCAUUUAACACCUCAGCCUUAUUUUUCACAAUCUUACAAUAUCUACUUCAUGGAAUUAUUAUGAAAUAUCAGAUAAUACAUGUAAAGGGUCUACAAUUGUGUAAGGCCCAGAGUGGGUACUCAAUGAAGAUUAGGUAUUAUUGAAAAGUGUUAAAUAAAACAUAUGAGGCGAAGAAGGCAGAAUGCAGAACUAAUAUUAUGAUCUAGUUUGUGAGAACUUCAUCCUCCUAGCACCAUGAAUAGAUUACUUACCGUGGAGAGGAACAUAAACUUCAGGAU